GUACACUCCUGCGGGAGGCAGCAGUGGGGAAUAUUGCACAAUGGGCGCAAGCCUGAUGCAGCCAUGCCGCGUGUAUGAAGAAGGCCUUCGGGUUGUAAAGUACUUUCAGCGGGGAGGAAGGCGAUAAGGUUAAUAACCUUGUUGAUUGACGUUACCCGCAGAAGAAGCACCGGCUAACUCCGUGCCAGCAGCCGCGGUAAUACGGAGGGUGCAAGCGUUAAUCGGAAUUACUGGGCGUAAAGCGCACGCAGGCGGUCUGUCAAGUCGGAUGUGAAAUCCCCGGGCUCAACCUGGGAACUGCAUUCGAAACUGGCAGGCUAGAGUCUUGUAGAGGGGGGUAGAAUUCCAGGUGUAGCGGUGAAAUGCGUAGAGAUCUGGAGGAAUACCGGUGGCGAAGGCGGCCCCCGGGACAAAGACUGACGCUCAGGUGCGAAAGCGUGGGGAGCAAACAGGAUUAGAAACCCCAGUAGUCCCAUGA
Molecule: ribosomal RNA, 478 nt
Filed under: uncultured organism
Description: partial 16S ribosomal RNA
Rfam family: Bacterial small subunit ribosomal RNA
Source: RNAcentral